GGGAACGUGGCUCAGUGGUAGAGCGAUUGCCUUGCAUGCAUGAAGCCCUGGGUUCAAUUCCUCAGCGCCA
Molecule: transfer RNA, 70 nt
Filed under: Dipodomys ordii (Ord's kangaroo rat)
Lineage: Eukaryota; Metazoa; Chordata; Mammalia; Rodentia; Heteromyidae
Rfam family: tRNA
About the family: Transfer RNA (tRNA) molecules are approximately 80 nucleotides in length. Their secondary structure includes four short double-helical elements and three loops (D, anti-codon, and T loops). Further hydrogen bonds mediate the characteristic L-shaped molecular structure. tRNAs have two regions of fundamental functional importance: the anti-codon, which is responsible for specific mRNA codon recognition, and the 3' end, to which the tRNAs corresponding amino acid is attached (by aminoacyl-tRNA synthetases). tRNAs cope with the degeneracy of the genetic code in two manners: having more than one tRNA (with a specific anti-codon) for a particular amino acid; and 'wobble' base-pairing, i.e. permitting non-standard base-pairing at the 3rd anti-codon position.
Source: Rfam by way of RNAcentral